RNAcentral lists this ribosomal RNA (790 nucleotides) under Arthrobacter sp. A3MAP3S6. Its description in RNAcentral is "bacterial SSU rRNA". It matches the Rfam family "Bacterial small subunit ribosomal RNA", at positions 67 to 867 of the family's 1533-position model. The record is from RNAcentral. Lineage: Bacteria; Bacillati; Actinomycetota; Actinomycetes; Micrococcales; Micrococcaceae.
CGAUGAUCCCAGCUUGCUGGGGGAUUAGUGGCGAACGGGUGAGUAACACGUGAGUAACCUGCCCUUAACUCUGGGAUAAGCCUGGGAAACUGGGUCUAAUACCGGAUAUGACUCCUCAUCGCAUGGUGGGGGGUGGAAAGCUUUAUUGUGGUUUUGGAUGGACUCGCGGCCUAUCAGCUUGUUGGUGAGGUAAUGGCUCACCAAGGCGACGACGGGUAGCCGGCCUGAGAGGGUGACCGGCCACACUGGGACUGAGACACGGCCCAGACUCCUACGGGAGGCAGCAGUGGGGAAUAUUGCACAAUGGGCGAAAGCCUGAUGCAGCGACGCCGCGUGAGGGAUGACGGCCUUCGGGUUGUAAACCUCUUUCAGUAGGGAAGAAGCGAAAGUGACGGUACCUGCAGAAGAAGCGCCGGCUAACUACGUGCCAGCAGCCGCGGUAAUACGUAGGGCGCAAGCGUUAUCCGGAAUUAUUGGGCGUAAAGAGCUCGUAGGCGGUUUGUCGCGUCUGCCGUGAAAGUCCGGGGCUCAACUCCGGAUCUGCGGUGGGUACGGGCAGACUAGAGUGAUGUAGGGGAGACUGGAAUUCCUGGUGUAGCGGUGAAAUGCGCAGAUAUCAGGAGGAACACCGAUGGCGAAGGCAGGUCUCUGGGCAUUAACUGACGCUGAGGAGCGAAAGCAUGGGGAGCGAACAGGAUUAGAUACCCUGGUAGUCCAUGCCGUAAACGUUGGGCACUAGGUGUGGGGGGACAUUCCACGUUUUCCGCGCCGUAGCUAACGCAUUAAGUGC